AGCCCAGCCCGGCCUCCGUCUUCCAAGACCCGGGGCCUUGGGAAGUGGCCACCAAUAAGGAAGUCCUGGAGGCCUCAACCGCAGGCAUUUCGAAUGCAAGCCUUGAUCACCCUGUACAAAUGAGCCGGGGGCAAGGCCGAUGGGAAUCCUCGGUUGGAGAGUAAGCCUGUGUAACAACUCAGCAAAUAUUGGUCUCUCCGUCCCUACUCCCUACCCCAGAUGGAUGGGGUACAGCCCCCCUCCUCAGUACAGCGACUGAGUACAGCCAAAAUUCUUCAAGCUAGAAGCCACAGCGAAGCACUGGCCUCUUCGCCAGGCUCCCCUGGUUUAAGGGCCCAGACCGAAAUGUUUGCACAUCUGUUUCUAUCCAGUGUUGUAAUCUCUGUUGCUUAAUCCAAAAAUUCCGUUCUUCUUUCAUAAGAAAAUAAAGUACAAGGGGAAACAAA
Suricata suricatta (meerkat) is the source of this 446-nucleotide long non-coding RNA. RefSeq lists it as uncharacterized. The transcript has 2 exons. Lineage: Eukaryota; Metazoa; Chordata; Mammalia; Carnivora; Herpestidae. The record is from RefSeq and is a predicted model, not a curated record.